GGGUUUGAUCCUGGCUCAGAACGAACGCUGGCGGCAUGCCUAACACAUGCAAGUCGAACGAGACCUUCGGGUCUAGUGGCGCACGGGUGCGUAACGCGUGGGAAUCUGCCCUUGGGUUCGGAAUAACUCGCCGAAAGGCGUGCUAAUACCGGAUGAUGUCGCAAGACCAAAGAUUUAUCGCCCAGGGAUGAGCCCGCGUAGGAUUAGCUAGUUGGUGGGGUAAAGGCCUACCAAGGCGACGAUCCUUAGCUGGUCUGAGAGGAUGAUCAGCCACACUGGGACUGAGACACGGCCCAGACUCCUACGGGAGGCAGCAGUGGGGAAUAUUGGACAAUGGGCGAAAGCCUGAUCCAGCAAUGCCGCGUGAGUGAUGAAGGCCUUAGGGUUGUAAAGCUCUUUUACCCGGGAUGAUAAUGACAGUACCGGGAGAAUAAGCCCCGGCUAACUCCGUGCCAGCAGCCGCGGUAAUACGGAGGGGGCUAGCGUUGUUCGGAAUUACUGGGCGUAAAGCGCACGUAGGCGGUUACUCAAGUCAGAGGUGAAAGCCCGGAGCUUAACUCCGGAAUUGCCUUUGAAACUAGGUAACUUGAAUCCGGGAGAGGUGAGUGGAAUUCCGAGUGUANAGGUGAAAUUCGUANAUAUUCGGAAGAACACCANUGGCGAANGCGGCUCACUGNACCGGUAUUGAC
This 689-nucleotide ribosomal RNA is filed under the name uncultured bacterium. RNAcentral's name for it is "bacterial SSU rRNA". It matches the Rfam family "Bacterial small subunit ribosomal RNA", at positions 9 to 744 of the family's 1533-position model. The record is from RNAcentral.